This 484-nucleotide ribosomal RNA is filed under the name uncultured bacterium. RNAcentral's name for it is "partial 16S ribosomal RNA". It matches the Rfam family "Bacterial small subunit ribosomal RNA", at positions 30 to 507 of the family's 1533-position model. The record is from RNAcentral.
AUUGAACGCUGGCGGCAGGCCUAACACAUGCAAGUCGAGCGGAUGAAGGGAGCUUGCUCCUGGAUUCAGCGGCGGACGGGUGAGUAAUGCCUAGGAAUCUGCCUGGUAGUGGGGGAUAACGUCCGGAAACGGGCGCUAAUACCGCAUACGUCCUGAGGGAGAAAGUGGGGGAUCUUCGGACCUCACGCUAUCAGAUGAGCCUAGGUCGGAUUAGCUAGUUGGUGGGGUAAAGGCCUACCAAGGCGACGAUCCGUAACUGGUCUGAGAGGAUGAUCAGUCACACUGGAACUGAGACAGGGUCCAGACUCCUACGGGAGGCAGCAGUGGGGAAUAUUGGACAGUGGGCGAAAGCCUGAUCCAGCCAUGCCGCGUGUGUGAAGAAGGUCUUCGGAGUGUAAAGCACGUUAAGUUGGGAGGAAGGGCAGUAAGUUAAUACCUUGCUGUUUUGACGUUACCAACAGAAUAAGCACCGGCUAACUUCGUG